Molecule: long non-coding RNA, 1245 nt
Organism: Ostrinia furnacalis (Asian corn borer)
Lineage: Eukaryota; Metazoa; Arthropoda; Insecta; Lepidoptera; Crambidae
Exons: 3
Source: RefSeq, a predicted model, not a curated record
GAAAGUAACCCACUAUUUUAUGCACACUAUGGUCACUGCCAUGUAAUAAGGUAAGCACAAUUAACUGUUGACAUAGUGUGUUCAAAUGAAAAUGCAUGUUAUCAGAACUAUCAAUUAUUUACUUUGAAACAUCAUUUAAUAACUGAGUGAAUCCAUUUCCAGCAAGCUAAACCUAGUAUUAUGACAGCCACAAGCCUAGGAAGAAUUGUGGCUUUGGGACGUGUUUGAAGUUUAACACAUAAGCACUUUUUAAUUCAAGAAUAAUCUUUCUGUUAAGAAUCUGCAGUUUAUCACGACAUCGCGGAAUUUGGCGCGGAAAUCACGUAUUCAAGCAGAGCACAGCAUGUAGUGGAUAGCUUUGUGCACAAAUUACAAUGGAUUGUUUGUAAGUGUGUAAAUGCCAAUGACUGUAAAUGCAAAAAGGAACAAAGAAAUGAAGAUGUUUUAGAAUAAAUAAGACUUCCAAAAUUAAUAGAAAGUACUGAAGAAUAUGAUAAUGCUGAAUUGAAAAUAACUGAUUACUUGUGUUAAAAAUUUAAUCUAACAUUAAUCUGAUACUAAGUUAACAGGAUCACUAAUUGAAGUAUGGGGUGUGGGCUUAUGAUACAGAUAUUACUAAUGAAACUACUGACUGAAAAACACAAACCAAUGCUUCAAAUUGAUCAGCUAGAAAAUGUUGAAUGAACAAAAAGACUGCUCAGCUCCACUGCACAUUUGCUGUAUGCAAUGCACUAGAAAAUGUCCCCUUUUCUUGUUGCAAUUAUUGAUUGAUGGGCACACAACUGAGUAGCACAUAAUAAGCAGGCAAUUGAAAGGAAUUGCUGGGGCUACAGAGUAAGGUCAGAGCCGAGAUCAACACCUAGCUCAUUAAAACCAUCUGCACCAAUGUCAUAAUCAAGGCCAACCUAAUUUAUAUGAGGUGCAUAAAAAGUUUUCACACCACGAAAAUAAUACUGCACAAAUUGCGACAGCUUAAGCACGCUGUAACUGCAACGAACUACAUUACGAAAAACAACGACAUACCUACGUGACAAUAAAACGACCUCAUAUAAUUUCCAACACGAUACAGGAAGUGUACCACAUGUGUCUCAAAUCGUGAUUUCAAAAAGAAUUUCUACAAAGGACCCGCGAGCCUCCAGCCAUCCAGGCUAGCUCACUGAUGACCUAUACAAACUAGAGAUAGCGGGAUGCGCAGAAACGCAUCCCAGCUAAAUAGCUCUGUCUGGGAUUUUGAAAGGAUAGGUG